UACGUAGGGUGCGAGCGUUAAUCGGAAUUACUGGGCGUAAAGCGUGCGCAGGCGGUUCGUUAAGACAGAUGUGAAAUCCCCGGGCUUAACCUGGGAACUGCAUUUGUGACUGGCGAGCUAGAGUAUGGCAGAGGGGGGUAGAAUUCCACGUGUAGCAGUGAAAUGCGUAGAGAUGUGGAGGAAUACCGAUGGCGAAGGCAGCCCCCUGGGCCAAUACUGACGCUCAUGCACGAAAGCGUGGGGAGCAAACAGG
Molecule: non-coding RNA, 253 nt
Filed under: uncultured bacterium
Lineage: Bacteria
Also listed under: 3 other names
Description: partial 16S ribosomal RNA
Rfam family: Bacterial small subunit ribosomal RNA
Source: RNAcentral